Molecule: long non-coding RNA, 977 nt
Filed under: Salmo salar (Atlantic salmon)
Lineage: Eukaryota; Metazoa; Chordata; Actinopteri; Salmoniformes; Salmonidae
Description: lncRNA (ENSSSAG00000112908.1)
Source: RNAcentral
CUUCUUCUACAUGUGGCCAGUCUUUAGGCAUUGUUUCAGGCUUUUACUCUGAAAAAUGAGGGAUAUACAGCACUUUCAAUGAGUGGACAGUGGAAAUUUCCAGCCAUGAGUCCAGCGCAUGACCAGGAGCGCACCUUUCUUGUUUCUCCUUUUCUAUUGAUGAAGCUUUUGUCCGGUUUAAAUAUUAUUGAUUAUUUAUGACAAAAACAACCCGAGGAUUGAUUUUAAACAUCGUUUGACAUGUUUCAACAAACUUUUAUUGUACUUUUUAGAUUUUUUGUCUGUCUGUUGUGACCGUGCUUUGUUCCAAUGGAUUGCUGAACAAAACACACCAACAAAACUGAGGUUUUGGACAUAAAGAGGGACAUUAUCGAACAAAACAAACAUUUAUUGUGUAACAUGGAGUCUUCGGAGUGCAACCAUAUGAAGAUCAUCAAAGGACAAUGACCCAGCACAUCUCCAGGCUGUAUAAGGGCUAUUUUACCAAGAAGGAGAGUGAUGGAGGGCUGCAUCAGAUGACCUGGCCUCCACAAUCCCCCGACCUCAACCAAGCUGAGAUGGUUUGACAUGAGUCGGACCGCAGAGUGAAGGAAAAGCAGCCAACAAGUGCUCAGCAUAUGUGGGAACUCUUACAAGACUGCUGGAAAAGCAUUCCAGGACCUGAGCCCUAGGACCAUGCCUCAGGACUACCUGGCAUGAUGACUCCUUGCUCUCCCCAGUCCACCUGGCCAUGCUGCUGCUCCAGUUUCAACUGUUCUGCCUGCGGCUAUGGAACCCUGACCUGUUCACCGGACGUGCUUGUUGCACCCUCGACAACUACUAUGAUUAUUAUUAUUUAUGAACAUUUUAACAUCUUGACCAUGUUCUGUUAUAAUAUCCACCCGGCACAGCCAGCAGAGGACUGGCCACCCCUCAUAGCCUGGUUCCUCUCUAGGUUUCUUCCUAGGUUUUUGGCCUUUCUAGGGAGUUUUUCCAAG